RNAcentral lists this transfer RNA (85 nucleotides) under Felis catus (domestic cat). It matches the Rfam family "tRNA". Rfam says of the family: Transfer RNA (tRNA) molecules are approximately 80 nucleotides in length. Lineage: Eukaryota; Metazoa; Chordata; Mammalia; Carnivora; Felidae. The record is from Rfam by way of RNAcentral.
GCCUGGGUGGCUCAGUCGGUUAAGCGUCCGACUUUGGCUCAGGUCAUGAUCUCACGGUUCGUGAGUUCGAGCCCCGCUCCGGGCU